This 530-nucleotide long non-coding RNA is filed under the name Triticum aestivum (bread wheat). RNAcentral describes it as "long non-coding RNA (TAES_LNC026004)". The record is from RNAcentral. Lineage: Eukaryota; Viridiplantae; Streptophyta; Magnoliopsida; Poales; Poaceae.
CCUCCCCAAGUAAAUUUUAUCUUGCUCCUGUGAAGAUCAACAGCAGCUGGAUGAAGAACCUAUCAUCGUCCCUUGAGUUAUCUCCCUUCCUCAAGUAAAUUUUAUCUUGGUCCUGCAAAGAUCAACAGCAGCUGGAUGAAGAACAUGUCGUCGUCCCUUGAGUUAUCUCCCCAAGUAAAUUUUAUCUUGGUCCUGCAAAGAUCGGCAGCAGCUGGAUGAAGAAUCUGCCAUCGUCCCUUUAGUUAUUUCUCCAAGUAAAUUUUAUUCUGCUGCUGUAAAGUUUAACAACUGGAUAGGAAGAGGCUGUGAGCGACCUAGCUCCCUUGAGUUAUUCUCACAAGUAAAAUUUAUUUAGCUCGUGUAACUAACAGAUGGAUGGUUGAAAGCAGUGGGCUGGGAACUCUUGUGGUACAAUUAACCAGCUUGCUGGUCUGGGUGCUACCGGCGCCAUCUUUUUCUUGCAACCUUGUUCUGUCAGCAAGAAGAUGCAUUUCAGCUACUGUCUUCCUGAUGCAGUUUAUUAAUACUAG